This 2175-nucleotide ribosomal RNA is filed under the name Clostridium sporogenes. Its description in RNAcentral is "bacterial LSU rRNA". It matches the Rfam family "Bacterial large subunit ribosomal RNA", at positions 730 to 2925 of the family's 2925-position model. Lineage: Bacteria; Bacillati; Bacillota; Clostridia; Eubacteriales; Clostridiaceae. The record is from RNAcentral.
CUAUCCAUGGCCAGGUUGAAGCGAGAGUAAAAUCUCGUGGAGGACCGAACCACGUUGGUGUUGAAAAACCAUGGGAUGAGCUGUGGAUAGCGGAGAAAUUCCAAUCGAACUCGGAGAUAGCUGGUUCUCCUCGAAAUAGCUUUAGGGCUAGCGUCGUGUAAUUGAGUAAUGGAGGUAGAGCACUGAAUGGGCUAGGGGCUAUAGUAGUUACCGAACCCUAUCAAACUCCGAAUGCCAUAUACUUGUAUCACGGCAGUCAGACUGCGAAUGAUAAGAUCCGUAGUCAAAAGGGAAACAGCCCAGACCAUCAGCUAAGGUCCCAAAGUGUAAGUUAAGUGGAAAAGGAUGUGGGAUUUCUAAGACAACUAGGAUGUUGGCUUAGAAGCAGCCACUCAUUUAAAGAGUGCGUAAUAGCUCACUAGUCAAGAGAUCCUGCGCCGAAGAUGUCCGGGGCUCAAACUUACCACCGAAGCUAUGGGUGUACACUAUGUGUACGCGGUAGAGGAGCUUUCUGUAUGGGUUGAAGUCGUACCGUAAGGAGCGGUGGACUGUACAGAAGUGAGAAUGCUGGCAUAAGUAGCGAGAAAUAAGUGAGAAUCUUAUUGGCCGAAAACCUAAGGUUUCCUGGGGAAGGUUCGUCCGCCCAGGGUUAGUCGGGACCUAAGCCGAGGCCGAAAGGCGUAGGUGAUGGACAAUCGGUUGAUAUUCCGAUACCGCCUAUUUACGUUUGAGAAAUGGGGUGACGCAGUAGGAUAAGAUGUGCGCACUAUUGGAUGUGCGUCUAAGCAUUUAGGCAUGCUUGAUAGGUAAAUCCGUCGAGCUAAGCUGAGGUGUGAUGGGAGCCAUUUAUGGCGAAGUAUCUGAUUCCACACUGCCAAGAAAAGCCUCUAUCGAGUGAAUAGGUGCCCGUACCGCAAACCGACAGGUAGGUGAGGAGAGAAUCCUAAGGCCAUCGGAAGAAUUGCUGUUAAGGAACUCGGCAAAUUGACCCCGUAACUUCGGGAGAAGGGGUGCCUACGAAAGUAGGCCGCAGAGAAUAGGCCCAAGCAACUGUUUAGCAAAAACACAGGUCUCUGCUAAAGCGAAAGCUGAUGUAUAGGGGCUGACGCCUGCCCGGUGCUGGAAGGUUAAGGGGAACACUUAGCGUAAGCGAAGGUGUGAACUUAAGCCCAGUAAACGGCGGCCGUAACUAUAACGGUCCUAAGGUAGCGAAAUUCCUUGUCGGGUAAGUUCCGACCCGCACGAAUGGCGUAAUGAUUUGGGCACUGUCUCAACAGCAAAUCCGGCGAAAUUGUAGUGCAAGUGAAGAUGCUUGCUACCCGCGAUUGGACGGAAAGACCCCGUAGAGCUUUACUGUAGCUUAGCAUUGAAUCUCGGUAUUGUCUGUACAGGAUAGGUGGGAGACUUGGAAGCUUGGGCGUCAGCCUGAGUGGAGUCAUCCUUGGGAUACCACCCUGACAGUACUGGGGUUCUAACCGGCGGCCAUGAAUCUGGUCACGGGACAUUGUUAGGUGGGCAGUUUGACUGGGGCGGUCGCCUCCUAAAAAGUAACGGAGGCGCCCAAAAGUUCCCUCAGCGCGGUCGGAAAUCGCGCGAAGAGUGCAAAGGCAGAAGGGAGCUUGACUGCGACACAUACAGGUGGAGCAGGGACGAAAGUCGGGCUUAGUGAUCCGGUGGUACCUCGUGGGAGGGCCAUCGCUCAACGGAUAAAAGCUACCUCGGGGAUAACAGGCUGAUCUCCCCAAGAGUCCACAUCGACGGGGAGGUUUGGCACCUCGAUGUCGGCUCGUCGCAUCCUGGGGCUGAAGUAGGUCCCAAGGGUUGGGCUGUUCGCCCAUUAAAGCGGCACGCGAGCUGGGUUCAGAACGUCGUGAGACAGUUCGGUCCCUAUCCGUCGCGGGCGUAGGAAAUUUGAGAGGAGCUGUCCUUAGUACGAGAGGACCGGGAUGGACCAACCUCUGGUGCACCAGUUGUCACGCCAGUGGCACAGCUGGGUAGCUAUGUUGGGACUGGAUAAACGCUGAAAGCAUCUAAGCGUGAAGCCAACCUCAAGAUGAGAUUUCCCAUAGCGUAAGCUAGUAACUCCUGGAAGAACACCAGGUUGAUAGGUCAGAGAUGUAAGCAUGGCAACAUGUUAAGUUGACUGAUACUAAUAAGUCGAGGGCUUGACCAAAA